UACGGAGGGUGCGAGCGUUGUCCGGAAUCAUUGGGCGUAAAGGGCGCGUAGGUGGCCCGGUCAGUUCGUGGUGAAAGCGCGGGGCUCAACCCUGCGUCGGCCAUGAAUACUGCCGCGGCUGGAGCACUGUAGAGGCAGGCGGAAUUCCGGGUGUAGCGGUGGAAUGCGUAGAGAUCCGGAAGAACACCGGUGGCGAAGGCGGCCUGCUGGG
RNAcentral lists this ribosomal RNA (211 nucleotides) under uncultured bacterium. RNAcentral describes it as "partial 16S ribosomal RNA". It matches the Rfam family "Bacterial small subunit ribosomal RNA", at positions 524 to 733 of the family's 1533-position model. The record is from RNAcentral.